GUGGGACCGAUCACGCGAAUUCGCAAGCGUUAGUCAUAACGGUUAGGCAGAAAAAAUUACGCUGAGCCGCAGCAGCAAAACGCCAACAGGCUGGCAAUAUCAUAACCAUAGCAGCGUAUGGGACAACAAAAAAUCUUACAGUUAUGUCGUAAUAACGAACAUGCAACGAGUGACAUCACUGUUGAGCAAAUGAGAGAGCGUACACGAUCGCGGAGUGCGCUGAAAUUCACCACACUUGAUAGCGCCACGACAAAUACUCGAAUCUCGUACGAGAAUAAGUAGACAAAUUAAUUAAUUUGUUAACAAAUAGCGAACAACAAAGCACAAUAACCACAGUCGCACUUACACUAGCUAAACAAUUAAUGACAAAAGUAUCGAGCAAUUAAAAAAUAGUUGCGCAUAUAAUAAAUACAUACUCGUAUGUAUGUAUGUAGAUGUGUAUAUAUGUAUUUACUUAUGCGUUUGUGUUCGCAUUAGAUUGUAUAAUUGUAAUGAGCGCCUUUUCUGAAGUAAACGCAGUCCGAUCGCUUGAACGCGUCACGAUUUAUAACGUCGAUUUUUUAUCAUCGCCUCUUGCUUGCUUGUAUUCUUAUUUAUUUAUUAUUAAUUAUUUUUGUUUUAAUUUUUUCAUAUUUAUUCUUUGUGUGUAUUUCUUCACUUUUGUUUUGACUACAUAAAUCAGUGGCGGAUGACAUCAGCAGCGGUGACCGCGCACGUUUGGGUUGCCAGCUUGCCAGCUAGUUAUCGCUAAAGAGGCUCUCCACGCAAAUCGGAACGCUAAUAAUUAUAAUAACUAUUCAAUUGACAAGUCUUUGAUGCUUAGCUUACAUAUAUACAUAUAUACAUACAUAUACAUAUGUAUAUAUAUUAAUUUGUAUAAAAUAUUUACGGAGAAUUUGCACAAUAAAAUUUUUGAUUUGAUGUGAAAUUGCUUGAAUAAAGGAUGACUUAAUAGUCGAAUAGACUUUUAAAAACGAAA
This is a non-coding RNA of Bactrocera oleae (olive fruit fly), 979 nucleotides long. The record is from RefSeq and is a predicted model, not a curated record. NCBI's taxonomy places the organism in Eukaryota, Metazoa, Arthropoda, Insecta, Diptera, Tephritidae.